CGGCGUCACGAGUGGCAAUCAUGAUUAUUGGGCCUAAAGCGUCCGUAGCCGGUCUGAUAAAUUUCUUGUGAAAUUGUUUGGCUCAACCAAACAGCGUGCAAGAAAGACUGUCAGACUUGAAACCGGGAGGAGCUAGAGGUAUUCCAGGGGGAGCGGUAGAAUGCUAUAAUCCCUGGAGGACCACCUAUGGCGAAGGCUUCUAGCUAGAACGGAUUUGACGGUGAGGGACGAAAGCCAGGGGAGCGAUCCGGAUUAGAUACCCGAGUAGUCC
RNAcentral lists this ribosomal RNA (271 nucleotides) under uncultured archaeon. RNAcentral describes it as "partial 16S ribosomal RNA". It matches the Rfam family "Archaeal small subunit ribosomal RNA", at positions 477 to 747 of the family's 1478-position model. The record is from RNAcentral.